AUUGAACGCUGGCGGCAGGCCUAACACAUGCAAGUCGAGCGGAUGAAGGGAGCUUGCUCCUGGAUUCAGCGGCGGACGGGUGAGUAAUGCCUAGGAAUCUGACUGGUAGUGGGGGAUAACGUCCGGAAACGGGCGCUAAUACCGCAUACGUCCUGAGGGAGAAAGUGGGGGAUCUUCGGACCUCACGCUAUCAGAUGAGCCUAGGUCGGAUUAGCUAGUUGGUGGGGUAAAGGCCUACCAAGGCGACGAUCCGUAACUGGUCUGAGAGGAUGAUCAGUCACACUGGAACUGAGACACGGUCCAGACUCCUACGGGAGGCAGCAGUGGGGAAUAUUGGACAAUGGGCGAAAGCCUGAUCCAGCCAUGCCGCGUGUGUGAAGAAGGUCUUCGGAUUGUAAAGCACUUUAAGUUGGGAGGAAGGGCAGUAAGUUAAUACCUUGCUGUUUUGACGUUACCAACAGAAUAAGCACCGGCUAACUUCGUG
This 484-nucleotide ribosomal RNA is filed under the name uncultured bacterium. RNAcentral describes it as "partial 16S ribosomal RNA". It matches the Rfam family "Bacterial small subunit ribosomal RNA", at positions 30 to 507 of the family's 1533-position model. The record is from RNAcentral.